GCCAGGCAUGCUGGGUGUGCCUGCAGCUACUGUCCCCAGUGAGGCAGGAGGACACUGAGCCCGAGUCCUGGGCUGGGCUAUGCUAAUUAGGUGUCCUCACUGAGUUUGGCAUCAUUGUGGUACCGUCCUGGCAGCAGGGGACCACCAGGUUGCCUAAGGAGGGAUGGACUAGCCCAGGCCAGAAGCAGCAGGUCAACACUCCCAUGCUGAUCAGAUCAACAGUGGGCUCCUACUUGGGAAUAGCCACUGCACUUCAGCCUGGACAACACAGUGAGACCCCAU
Molecule: signal recognition particle RNA, 282 nt
Filed under: Microcebus murinus (gray mouse lemur)
Lineage: Eukaryota; Metazoa; Chordata; Mammalia; Primates; Cheirogaleidae
Description: Metazoan signal recognition particle RNA (ENSMICG00000036633.2)
Rfam family: Metazoan signal recognition particle RNA
About the family: The signal recognition particle (SRP) is a universally conserved ribonucleoprotein. It is involved in the co-translational targeting of proteins to membranes.
Source: Rfam by way of RNAcentral